UUAUUAUAGCCCGGACAUCCGUUAUUCUCGAAUUCGAAGGCAUUAAGGUUCUUAUCAGUUUUUUUAUCUGAAAUUCGAACCAAACGGGGUUGAUUCGACGGCUAAAGGUUGUGGAUUUGGGAUGAGGGAUGUAAGGAGAUCAUGCGGUGUUAAUUUGGCAGAGUUUGGAAGAGGUGGUGUUUUGGUCGGAUUUUCAAAUCAAUAUUUGACAAUUUCUGUAGAGAUUUGAGGGGCGGGGCUUGGGGAUCUAGAGAGAGGAGGGUGAGAGGAUAUGGUGGUCUAAAUUUGGGGUUAUUUGGAGACCGUCGCCGUCGUGGAUGGCGGACCAGUCAUCCUUUUGAUCAAGGAUUCGAGACGAAGGGUUAGGAUUUGAAGGUUGGUAUCUUGGGCAUUGGAAAGAGGAGGAGGAGGGGAUCAAUUGGUGUUAAUUUGGAGUUAAUCGGAGACCGACCGUCGUCGGCGAACGGUGGAACAGUCGUCCCUUUGGUCGAAGAUUCGAGAUGAAGGGUUUGUAUUUGAGGGAUGGGACUUCGAUCAUUGGAAAGAGGAGGCGAAGGGGAUCAAUUGGUGUAUUUUUGGGGUUGAUCGGAGACCAGCCGCCGCCGGAAGCGAUUUCCGGCCGGCGAAGGGACAAUGGCUUUAGGGUGGUGUUACACCAGUAUAAUUUUUGGGUUGAAAGAGACAUGGUAUGAGGUUUCGG
Molecule: long non-coding RNA, 700 nt
Filed under: Nicotiana benthamiana
Lineage: Eukaryota; Viridiplantae; Streptophyta; Magnoliopsida; Solanales; Solanaceae
Description: long non-coding RNA (NBEN_LNC007482)
Source: RNAcentral